This 4331-nucleotide long non-coding RNA is filed under the name Salmo salar (Atlantic salmon). Its description in RNAcentral is "lncRNA (ENSSSAG00000101130.1)". The stretch from base 1631 to 1684 matches the Rfam family "UnaL2 LINE 3' element". Lineage: Eukaryota; Metazoa; Chordata; Actinopteri; Salmoniformes; Salmonidae. The record is from RNAcentral.
GUUUUGCUAAAUAAUUUGUCAUACAGCCUUCAUACUGUCCAAAGCAUGGCCAAAUAUAUAAUGACAGUUUUAUGAGAUAUGUUACCAUAAAUAGUUCUAUGACAGCAUAACAAACAGUAUCAGCUUGUCAAAAAACAGACCACUCUCAUUUUAAGUUUGUCUCCAUGGCAUUUUGCUUCAAUAACAACAGUGUUAUGACAAAAAUAUUUGUUCUACACAUCUUACACAAAUUCUGCUAUGACCUUUGGUUAAGUAUCAAUGUACAGUACCAGUCAAAAGUUUGGACACCUACUCAGGGUUUUUCUUUAUUUUAUCUUUGUAAUAGUGAAGACAUAACUAUGAAGUAACACAUAUGGAAUCAUGUAGUAACCAAAAAAGUGUUAAACAAAUCAAAAUAUAUGUUAUAUUUUAGAUUCUUCAAAGUAGCCACCCUUUGACUUGAUGAUAGCUUUGCACACACUCUUGGCAUUCUCUCAACCAGCUUAAUGUGGUAGUCACCUGAAAUGCAUUUAAAUUAACAGGUGUGCCUUGUUAAGUUAAUUUGUGGAAUUUCUUUCCUUAAUGUUUUUGAGCCAAUUUAGUUGUGUUGUGACAAGGUAGGGGUGGUAUACAGAAGAUAGCCCUAUUUGGUAAAAGACCAAGUCCAUAUUAUGGCAAGAACAGCUCAAAUAAGCGAAGAGAAACAACAGUCCAUCAUUACUUUAAGACAUGAAGGUCAGUCAAUCUGGAACAUUUCAAGAACUUUGAAAGUUUCUUUAAGUGCAGUCGCAAAAACCAUCAAGCACUAUAAUGAAACUGGCUCUCAUGAGGACCGCCACAGGAAAGGAAGACCCAGAGUUACCUCUGCUGCAGAGGAUAAGUUCAUUAGAGUUAACUGCACCUCAGAUUGCAGCCCAAAUAAAUGCUUCACAGGGUUCAAGUAACAGACACAUCUCAACAUCAACUAUUCAGAGGCGACUGCGUGAAUCAGGCCUUCAUGGUCAAAUUGUUGCAAAGAAACCACUACUAAAGGACAUCAAUAAGAAGAAAAGCUUGCUUGGGCCAAGAAACACGAGCAAUGGACAUUAGACUGGUGGAAAUCUGUCCUUUGGUCUGAUGAGUCCAAAUUUCAGAUUUUUGGUUCCAACCGCCUUGUCUUUGUGAGACGCAGAGUGGGUGAACGGAUGAUCUCUGCAUGUGUGGUUCCUACGUGAAGCAUGGAGGAGGAGGUGUGGGGGAGCUUUGCUGGUGACACUGAUUUAUUUAGAAUUCAAGGCACACUUAACCAGCAUGGCUACCACAGCAUUCUGCAGCGAUACGCCAUCCCACCUGGUUUGCACUUAGUGGGACUCUCAUUUAUUUUUCAGCAGGACAAUGACCCAACACACCUCCAGGCUGUGUAAGGGCUAUUUCACCAAGAAGGAGAGUGAUGGAGUGCUGCAUCAAAUGACCUGGCCUCCACAAUCACAUGACCUCAACCCAAUUGAGAUGGUUUGGGAUGAGUCAAACCGCAGAGUGAAGGAAAAGCAGCCAACAAGUGCUCAGCAUAUGUGGGAACUCCUUCAAGACUGUUGGAAAAGCAUUCCUCAUUCCUCCCGUGUGGCUCAGUUGGUAGAGCAUGGUGUUCACUACUGCAUGGUGUUCACUACAUGAUGUUCACUACUGUAAGUCGCUCUGGAUAAGAGCGUCUGCUAAAUGACUAAAAUGUAAAUGUAAAUGAAGCUGGUUGAGAGAAUGCCAAGAGUGUGCAAAGCGGUCAUCAAGGCAAAGGGUGGCUACUUUGAAGAAUCUGAAGUAUUUUCUUAUUUGUUUAACACGUUUUUUGGUUACUACAUGAUUCCAAAUGUGUUAUUUCAUAGUUUUGAUGUCUUCUCUAUUGUUCUACAAUGUAGAAAAUAGGAAAAAAAUAAAGGAAAAAAAUGAGUAGGUGUCCAAACAUUUGACUGGUACUGUAUGUGUUAAGCAUGAAGUCUCCCGCUGUGUCUGGUGUCCUAUUUCUGAGUCUACCAUUAAUGAGUGCUACUGAACUUUCUUAAAACAGUUGUAAUGCUUUGUGAAAAGGUUACUUUAAGUAGUUAUUACUUACUUAUUACUGUAAGUAAGUCAAACGUAUUACUGUGUUACCAAAACUUUUUCCCUCUAUGAGUUUACUUGCUUUCAUGGAGCUAAUGUCAGUGAUGACAAACAUGUCUCACCUAAUUAGCGGAAAGGUUACAUUCGUCACUUUUUUUGUUAUUUUUCUUUUUGUACAAUGUUGUGCCAUCUAUAGUGUUAUAUGGUAUUUUAGAUUAAUAUGAUUGUUACUCAAAGUUGUGCACUUGCUAAGUGUAUGGUGACCCCUGUUGUGAACUAUGGAUACCUCAGAAGUCUAAACCAGUGACAACGCUGAGAUGAAGUCACACAUAUUUUAAACCAACUUUGUUGCUUUUUCCUGUCUUUCUUUUGUUUACUUAAAAAAAAAAAAUUACAUUCUAAUUUCUGUAUUGUAUAUUUGUAUGGGUAAAGUAGGGUAAAAUAUGGUGAAGUAACUGAAUGACCACAUAUCAAGUCAGGAUACAGUCCGAUUUUCUAACUGUUUGGAUGAUACAAUCUACAUUCCAAAGUGCAAUCUCAUUGCUGUUUUUUGUUGUUGUUGUAACAAACACCGUUUACUGCAAAUCUUCCCAAUUCAAUCACAAUUAACUUGGACAUAGAGAAUUCAAUGGUAUUCCAUAAAAUGCCAAACGCUGCUUUUAAUAAAGCUUGUCCUAGCGAACAUCAAUGAGACACCCCUUUUGUUGUUGUUGUGCCUAUUGUGUACACGUUGUUAACCUCUAUUACAUUUGAGUAUUUUUUUUUGUUGUUGAAACAAAAUGUAUUUAUUCUUGUUAAUCUUUACCUAAAUCAUUGAAUGUCAUGUAGGCUCCAAAGUGUGCUUUCAUUCAUUAUACUGAUAUAGUUAGGUUAUUAUUAUUUCUGUUUUUCGUGUUUUUAAAAUAGGAGGUUUAUCCAGACAAAAUACUCCGCUUCUGUUUUUACUAUAAUUCCCCCCCAAAAAAUUACAGAGAACUUUUACAUUUAUGUCCAUGUCCUCCGUGGAGCUUUAGCAUUGACUAAAUCCUCUGAAGUUGUAAUGUGGCGCAGAAUUUCUGAGGUGACGGUGACUAUGACCAAAUUGAAAUCUCCAGGAAGAGAAAGCAUAAUUGAUAGCACUGUGUAUAUCAACACAAUGCCUUCAUUGUGUUGAUAUACAGGUAAUAUUCUAACACUUUCUCCAUGAGUUACUUCCAUAGCACAACAUUGGUGUACUUUUACUUAGUGAAUCAUUAUCACACUGCAGUUAGCUUUCAUAUCAAAUUGCAUGUCAAUCAUCUUUGCUUUAUGCAAUUUGGACACUUUCUGUUUAGAAAGCCAUCACCACAGUGGCUCAUAUUAUAGCACAUUUUGAGAAAGAAAAUAACAGUAUUUGAUCAAAGUCCAGAUUGAUUGUACAAAACUACAGGCAGGAAUGUCUCCAAACGCCUAUUCUCUGUAUGGUGGCAGUGUCACUAUACUUUCCGUAUACGUUUUUUCCGUAACCGUCGCUGCUGUUAACUAAGGUGGGUGCAAGUUUUCACAAGACUAGCAUUUUUUUAAUAUACUUUAUUCAAAAGUUUAGAUGUCGGGAUGGGUGGGCAUAUGGGGUUGAUGUAAAGAUUGGAUUGAUUAGAAAACUUUGAUUGUGAUACUGAGAAAAUAUGAAUAUGGUCUAUGUGUUGGUAUGCAAGGUAUUAUUUUGGGAACAACAAUGCAGAUUAUGUAAAAUGCAAAGAAUGGCACUGCUUGAUAUGACAGCUUCAAAUGCAUUCAGUGUAUGUAUUUAUUGUCCAUCUCUCUCACACACACACUGUCCCCCCAAAAGCUUAUUAUUUUGGCAUGUGGCAUGGAUUUACUUACAUUAAGGUCUUGGAGUGGAAAUGUAUUAGGAAUUGCCAGUGAUCCAUUAGAUAACAAAAUGGGAAGGCACAUUGUAUUGCUCUUUUCAAAUAAAUACACUGUACUUAUUAAAUAAAAUACCUGUUUUGGUUUUAAUGGAUUUAGUCAUGCUUUAUUUUCAUGAUUAUAUAUUAGACAGUUUUUUUCUUUAUAUAGGCACAAAUGAGAUAUACAGUAUGCACCAUUCUGAACAAAUCAUAUGGAUGAGUGCAUACAUUUGAAUCCCCAUAGUCCAUUGAAUAAAAAAGUAAUUUCCCUGCAUUCCCUUUCUGUAUUAAUAGUUCUAUACACAUUUCAGUAUACAAUGCAGUACUCAGAUUUCAUGAUUAGAACUGUAUUUGUGUUGAGUUUCAUGUCCAGCUUUGUUUGCUUACCGUUUGUGGCUCCUUUUUGUUCAG